Molecule: non-coding RNA, 7484 nt
Organism: Podarcis lilfordi (Lilford's wall lizard)
Lineage: Eukaryota; Metazoa; Chordata; Lepidosauria; Squamata; Lacertidae
Source: the annotation of a GenBank genome assembly
GUGUGAAUGACGGGCACAUGCCCUUACACACCUAUGUGCAUACGCACCUAGGAGCCUUAACCGGGCAGCGCCUGCGUGACAUGAGUGCAUGAAUGUUUCAAGGUCCUGUGGUUCAUGUGUCGGACGACCUAGGACCACCUGACCCUGCAAUUGUGUUUGCUUCAGGUGUUGCCCUGGUGCCUCCGUAAACAACCACCUAAAGUAUGAAUGACAAGACACAUCCUCUCCACAGCUCUCUGGUUAUAUGUGCACUUAAGGCCGACUCCAUUGCAAUUGGUAUAUUUGCCGGAGGACAGGUUGAUGUGUUCUACCCACAGCAAAUACCUUUGCCACAUCCAAUGUGGAGCUGCUCCUCAACUUUCUAGGUAUCUCUCGGCUUCUUUGCUCUUGCUUGUUUUCACCACAAAAAAAGCUUUCCUGGUAUCAGCAAAAAAAAUUGUAACGUAUCAGCUGUUCAGGGGAAGCCAGCUAGAGUUCACUCAGUUUCCUAUGUUCCUAAUUAUCAAUAGAAAAUAAAGAGUUACAGAUUGAUUAGAGCUAAGGCUGGAAAGUUGUGGUUACCUGGUUGUAAUGUGGUUGGUUGGUUGGUUGGUUGGUUGUUUUUUCCAAUACAAUAUGUUGUAUGGAAUAUUAAUGUGUUAUAUGAUUCCCCCUUUCUUCCCAGGGCAUACAGUUGUACCUUGGAUCCCGAUCCUGAACGCCUUGUGAGUUGUUGAACGUUUUGGUUCCUGAACACAUUAAACCUGGAAGUGACUGUUCCGGUUUGCAAAUGUUCUUUGGAACCCGAACGUCCGAUGGGGCUUCCGCUGCUUCCGAUUGGCUGAAGCAGCUUCCUGCAGCCAAUCGGAAGCCGCACUUUGGUUUCCGAACGUUUUAGAAGUCGAUCAGACUUUUGGAACAGUUUCUGUUCGACUUCCGAGGUACCACUGUAAUUUAUUUCUGUAUAUGUUUUUCAAUCUGAGUUGCUAGAAAACCCUUUGGGUGGAAAGUGACUAAAUAAUAAUAAUAAUAAUAAUAAUAAUAAUAAUAAUAAUAAUUUAUUUGUUUUUAUUGUGAGCUGCUUUUGGGAAGAAAUGGCAGGAUGCAGGGGUUGGUUUUUUUUAAAGUAAUAAAUACGUUUCUGUGGAAGUCAUUGUUGCCAAGGAUGGUCUCUCGGCAAGAUGUAAGCUGUGAGUCUCUUCAGCUCACACGUGUCCUGCCAUCGCUGGAUUUUCAGCUGCCUGUUUAUUAAUGGCAUGCUGGGACUCUGCCAAGCGCACUGCAAGAUGUGGGCCUGCUGGGGUUCCAUAUUGAGCUGUAGCCGUGCCAGCAAUGCUCUCCUCAUCAAUGUAACGAUUCUUUGCCUAAUGAUAGGGUUGAAGCUGAAAUGUUCAUUUUUAAAGAGGGGGGAAAGGUGCGUAGGGAGCUGGAGCCAAAUGAGGCACUCCAAUCUGCCUUCUGGAUACACUUUAAGAAUGGUCUCUUUCAUCGCUAAAGUCUUCAUCUGUCAGAGGGACACAAAAAAAGCACAUUUGCACAUGUAUUUGGCCUGAAGUGUAUAAUUUUGUUGGUGUAUGUUGAACACACAGCUGUGUAUCUUUCAGGCAGCAGGUGAAACAAGUUCGUAAACCAGAUAUACGAUUCCCCCCCCCAACCUAGAUUACAAUCAAUGCAUUUUAGAAUAAAACUCUGUAAAAAAAACCCGAAUAGGUUUGUUCUGAAUGUCAGUAAUUGCAAUCUGGCAGUCCAGGGUUUUAAGUACCAUUCAAAUCGUGGGUAGGAGUCCUGUAGCCAUCUUAGCACUGUGGGAUGUUUGGCUCCCACAGAAGGCAGCAGUGGCGGCCGCCAUCUUGGAUUAGACAGAUUCGCGGAGGUAAAGGCUAUCAGUGGCUAUUAGUGACGAUGGCUAUGCUCUGCCUUCAUGGUUGGAGGCUGUAUGUUUCCAUACCCUCCAACAUUUCUCUGAUGAAAAUAGGGACAUUCUGAACACCCGUUGCUAGAAAUCAUAGGAGGGGAGAAUGUUCCUGUGCUUGGGUCCUGUUUGUGGACUUCCCAUAGCCAUCUGGUUGGUUACUAUGAGAAUAGGAUGCUGGACUCGAUGGACCACUGGCCUGAUCCUGCAGCUCCUCCCUCCAUAACGUUGAGCAUCUUGGUAGCACAUAAUAGAAGAUCAUUGAAACGAAGUGUGCGUCUUAGGUAUUCAUUCUGCACUGCAUGUCGGUGCUUGCUUCAUGCUAGCUUAAAGCGGACCAUGUCAAGCCGCAGUAAAAAUGUUUGUUUUUAAAGUGUGCUAAGCUCCGUUCAUUUCUUUCUCUUCCUUGCACGCAAGCUGCAAAAGGAACAGCGCACUGACAACUGGACUCGUCUCCUUCCAAAGUAGAACCGCCAAAGGACUGAGUCAGCAGCACAGAGAGUGUUUUUUUGGUAAACGAACGCCUGAGCUAUUUGCCCCGGACAAUGGCUUCAUUUCCCCAUGUAAGCAAAACCUCUGCAUAGUUGCCGUUAGUUACCAGAAUGCAAAGAGGUCUGUUAGCUGGGGCAGUCGUGUUACACGAGACGAGAGUCUGGGAGAUAAUAAAUCGCCCCUGUUAAGCGUCGCUCAGGGUCUACAAUUCAGCACAGGACUGUCAGAAACCACUGACAAUACCAAUACAUAUUUGGAUUUAAGUACAGUGGUACCUCGGGUUACAUACGCUUCAGGUUACAGACUCCGUUAACCCAGAAAUAGUGCUUCAGGUUAAGAACUUUGCUUCAGCAUAAGAACAGAAAUCGGGCUCUGGCAGCACAGUGGCAGCAGGAGGCCCCAUUAGCUAAAGUGGUGCUUCAGGUUAAGAACAGUUUCAGGUUAAGAACGGACCUCCGGAACGAAUUAAGUACUUAACCCAAGGUACCACUGUACUCGGAUACCUCCUAUGUGAACCUCUCAGCGCUUCUGUGUUUACAGUACGUAGAUUAUUUUGUGGAAGUGGGUUUUGUGGAAGUGGGUUUCGUUUUGGGGGUCCCUUUGAGAGCCUCGGUAGAAAAUACUGAGGUAUUAGACAGCACAGUAAGUGCAAGCUGAAAAUCUCUAGGUCGGUGCUUCCCAACUUUGGGUCUCCAGCUGUUUUUGGACUACAACUCCCAUCAUUCCUAGCUAGCAGGACCAGUGGUCAGGGAUGAUGGGAGUUGUAGUCCAAAAACAGCUGGAGACCCAAGGUUGGAAAACACUGCUCCAGGUCGUUUCUACGCUUGUUCAAGCUUAGGAGAAUUUCAUGGUGCUAUAGAUACUUUUAGUUAUCUUGAUGGAGUAACAUCUAGGAUGUGGGGUUAGAGUUACAGAAAUGCAUGUGGACUAUGUGGCUUGGGGCGGGGGCUGUAGCUCGUUAGGAAAGCACUUGGUUUUCAUUCAGAUGGUAGCAGGUUCACCCCCCAGCUGGGGAUUGGACUGGGAAAGUCAUCUUGUCCCCCAAAGUCAACUUUGGAGAACCAGGCCUUUAAGAAGCAUGAAGGCUCUUCAGUCAAAACGCCAACACUCACCCACAGCCACAACACUUUAGGCAAAACCGUAGCAUAUAUCAAUUCAGAGUAAAUCAAGACUGUCUAAACUCGUGACAAAUUGAAAGGAAGUGAGAGGGACAGUGUGGCACUGCAUGCAUAUAGGGGGCAGUGAGGGAGAAUGGGUGGAGCAGUUUAAGGGAGCAGAAGUCCUUUUGUUCGCUGAAGGUAGUAGAUCUGGAAGGGCACACGUCGCAAGCAGGGAUCUGAAGAGAAACAAGGGUCAGAAGACGAGGCAAGGUCAUGUUAAAGUGAGGACAAGGAGUUUGGGCUGGAGACAGGAAGCCUGUGAGGGGAUCUGAUAACAUUCAGCCACAAUGAGUACAUCAGCACCAUUUCAACAUUGACAAAGUAGCUCUGAUUGCUCCCACACAUUACAUGUCGGACAAUUAGAUUUUGCCACUUUGUGUGCGUGUGUUUAAUUAGGAGCUGCUGCAACCAUUCUCGCAUCUUGAUGAGUGUACCUGCAUGACAGACAUGUGUCCAAACACAUAUAUUUAUAUGCCUAGCACGGUUAAUUUAAAAACACCAACCUCUAAGCAGUUUACGAUACAUACAAAAUAAAUAUAAAAUCUUAAGGAUAUGCAGAUAGAAAUCAACAGAUGUUGAAAACAAGUAGGCAUAAUAAAAUGAUCAGAUACAAAUAGAUAUAAUAAAAUUAUCUGUCUGCCUGUCCAUACAUUUUUUUUCUUUUUUAAGGCUGGCAUCGAAAACAGUACAAUCGGGGUGCUUGCCUAGUAUUUAUUUAUUUGUGUUAUUUACAUUUUCAGGUGUAUACUUCAAAUAAUUUAAAGUGAGAAGUGGCUGUUAAGUGAAAACAGAAAAAGUACUGUUUGAUGUUCACUCAUUCACUUAUACCUUACCACAAACAUUGCUUGUUUUGGUGAAACACAUGCAAACAAAGAAUCGGGGCCUCUGUAAGUACAUUUGCUUUCAGUGCUUUCUAUCAGUUUAUAUUUUCCACCUUAACCUUUGUUUGGCUAUUAUCUACCCAGUUAUUUCUAACUAUAACUUUUAAGGCCAAAGGGGUUUUCCAUUUAUUCUUAACAUUUCUUCACUAAAAGCAGUUUUACUCCAGCCAAUGGAUCUACAGUACUUAAAAGGUUUCGCUUACCUAACUCUUUGCAGAGUUGGGGCCUAGUUACAGGGCGUUUUUAAACAGCCAUUGUAUCAAAAUGCUGGCUUUUUUCUUAUUUCUCUCCUCCUUUAUAAUGUGCUUAUUUCCACUCUCGCCCCCUGCCAAGCAAAGCCCAUUCACUAUUUCAUGCCAGAAACUUUUUUUAAGGGAAUAAAACUUUGCCAGAUAAAGAGACAUGCCAGACGGGAAGUGGAUGAGCGUGGGGUGGUUUUUUUUGGGGGGGGAGGGGUUUAAAAUUAGCCUCCAGCCAGUCCUGAAUGAAAGGAGGAAAGGGCUAAAGGAAUAAACGUGUAUACACACACACACACACACACACACACACACACACACACUUUGUAAGGAAGCCCCCGCCAUCCCAUUCCUCUGUGGAGCUCCAGUUUCGCUCUUCAAAAUGCUUGAUUGCAUUAUGCUGUUGUGAACAGACAAGCUUAGCAAGUGAACAGUAAAUCUAAUCAGUUUGGCAUAAGGGGUUUCAUGGGAUCAGGGCAGACAAUAGGAAUAGUUGUGCGAGCUUCGCUGACUUCAAGUGAUUCACUAGUUUAUCCAUUAGAGCCAAAGUCGUAACAAAGCAACCAUUAAUUACUGAUGUGCAGGACUCACCAACGAUGGGCGGGGGUUGAGUGACCCAUUCACGACAAUUCGGGAAAGCCAUUGUCUUAAGAGAAGCAAUUAAUACACGAUGGUUUGUAGCGGUUCUAUUCUUUCACUGCUCAUCCAUAAUUCUCUUCCCUAAGCUUUUACUCUAAUGGCCUUUUUGACAAAACCUAGAAAACUGUUACUGGAAUAUAGAACUAAUCCUCAUAGUUUUGGAACAAACCUUAACAGAAAGCAAGUUCUAAGUUAUCUUCAGUUCUUACGUUAAUAAUUCCCAGAGGAACUCCACGCUCCCCCUGUAAGUCCCAGCACUCAAAAUCUGAGUGUCAAAAAUAAUAUUUUUGUUACAAGUAAUUACUGGUUUGAACAGACUCUCUUGGUCUUCUUUUCAGUCUUCUCAGAAUCUUGGGCACAUCAUAGAGUUUUCCCCACAAAUAGACCAACAGUCCAUCGUUGAUACACAAUUCAGACUGAUUAUUUAACGGCAUGGGUGACCUGUGAACCUCUAGAAGCUAUUUGAUGGUGGCUCUCAUCAUCCCUGACCAUUGGUCAUGCUAGCCAAAGUUGAUGGCAGUUGGAGAACCCUGGGAAAUUCCAGGGUAAAAUGAACACAAUGGAAACCACUCCCAAAUUGUCCCAGGCUACAUAACAUACCAUACGUUUAAAGCACAUUUCCUCCCAGAAUCCUAGGAACUUUAGUUUACCCCUUAGAGAGCUACAGUUCCCUUAACAAACUACAGUUUCCAGGAUUCUUUGCGGGGACGUCGUGUGCUUUAAAUGUAUGUCCUAAAUGUUUACAUCCAAGUAUCUGGAUCAGGAAAUAAGGGUACCGUAUUUUUUGCUCUAUAAGACUCACUUUUUCCCUCCUAAAAAGUAAGGGGAAAUGUGUGUGCAUCUUAUGGAGCGAAUGCAGGCUGCGCAGCUAUCCCAGAAGCCAGAACAGCAGGAGGGAUUGCUGCUUUCACUGCGCAGCGAUCCCUCUUGCUGUUCUGGCUUCUGAGAUUCAGAAUAUUUUUUUUCUUGUUUUCCUCCUCCAAAAACUAGGUGCGUCUUGUGGUCUGGUGCGUCUUAUAGAGCGAAAAAUACGGUAAGUCCUGUUGGUUCAUUUCUCCGUUCAAUAGGUGUAAAUGCAGAACUCUUGACAAAACACCCUUGCACAGAUCGAUGUCAUGCUCACUUUCAGAUAAGGAUAGAAACAAACACAAGUUGGUUGCUUUCACGAUUUAUUCAGUCAGUGAAUUUUGGUGAAAUGUCUGCCGGAGGUUUCCUUCCUGCUGGAAGACAUUUCUUCAUCAUGACUGCAGCGAGCCAACACCUAAAUAUUUUGAUGUGCUCUGUCUCCACACGCCAGAGAUGAAGACGAUUCAUACCCUCAGGUGGCUUUUACAUGAGGUAUUUACACUGCUGCUCCUGGGUGUCUAUUAUCCAGUCCUGUAGUGGGUGGAAGAUAACAUCACAGGAGUUAAGCAAUAAUGUCUCUAAUGAAUCAAAUAGUGUCAUGAACCAGCAGUCUUUUAAUAUCAAACAGAUUAACUUUCACUGAGUCACAGCCAGCCAGAUCUGCAAACCACACGGAGUCAGCACAUUUGGGCUAAUACAGGUUAAGGCCAAAAUCACACAUUCGCUUUCAAAUGCUUUAAUGAUCACUCCGGAAUCUGCGUCACUUAAUGCCCUGACAAGGCAUGCGUUUCCUGCUUUACAGUCGCUGUGUUCCUCCAACUUGUGCAGAAGACCUUCAGCCAAAUUGCUGGCCCACACCCUGACUUGGAGGAGAUGCGGUUGCUGACAAUCUAACCCUCCCGAAUUCUUCAUUACCUGCCGUGCUGCAUCACCAUUUAUUUGACUGUCUUCCCAACCCUGGUCUCCAUGAAACUGACAGUUGUGGGUGGGUAGGUGGGAGUGGAAUCCUUGUAAAUAUCACAAAAACCUCUCUUUGAUCUUAAAUGAACGUUUUAAUUGAAAUAUUGAUAGGGACACAACCCAGUUGUGCUCCAGGAAGAUACCUCUGUACAGGAAGGGGGAAAUGUUUCUGUUAUGUACUGAAGUUCUCACCCUGGGCCAGCAGGGGGAUAUUGUAGAUAGUUAUGCAAAUAAGGGAUCGAAAGUGACGUUCAGUGAUUGGAUAGUUUUAGAAAAUUGUUACAGUUACGUUGUACUGGAGCUGUAUAUAAGCAGGCUGACUGAACCCUUCUGUUCAGUUCUGUUCUGGCCUGUGAAUAAACAAGAGCUGUUUGAAGAA